RNAcentral lists this ribosomal RNA (425 nucleotides) under uncultured bacterium. Its description in RNAcentral is "partial 16S ribosomal RNA". It matches the Rfam family "Bacterial small subunit ribosomal RNA", at positions 354 to 796 of the family's 1533-position model. The record is from RNAcentral.
GUAGGGAAUCUUGCGCAAUGGGCGAAAGCCUGACGCAGCCAUGCCGCGUGAAUGAUGAAGGUCUUAGGAUUGUAAAAUUCUUUCACCGGGGACGAUAAUGACGGUACCCGGAGAAGAAGCCCCGGCUAACUCCGUGCCAGCAGCCGCGGUAAUACGAAGGGGGCUAGCGUUGCUCGGAAUUACUGGGCGUAAAGGGCGCGUAGGCGGACAGCUUAGUCAGAGGUGAAAGCCCAGGGCUCAACCUUGGAAUUGCCUUUGAUACUGGCUGUCUUGAGUUUGGGAGAGGUGAGUGGAACUCCGAGUGUAGAGGUGAAAUUCGUAGAUAUUCGGAAGAACACCAGUGGCGAAGGCGACUCACUGGCCCAAUACUGACGCUGAGGCGCGAAAGCGUGGGGAGCAAACAGGAUUAGAAACCCUUGUAGUCC